UAUUUUUGGCAGACAUGAGUGUCUCAUUAUACUGCCCAGACUGGCCUCAAACUCCUGGACUCAAGGAAUCCUCUUGCCUCAGUCUCCUAAAUUGCUAGGAUUACAGGCGUGAACCACUGCGCCCAGCCCCUUUCUUCAUUACUGUGCUUCCCUCCCUAAUUCUGUACAUAUCUCUCAUUCUCCCCUUCUCUCUAUGUUCGUUUUUCUUUUUCCCUGGGAUUCUGCUCCAUAUUUUGUACAUCUCUCUUCUCCUGUUGUUUAUCUCCUUCUUCCCUCUAUUCCUUCUCUUCCCCCUCCUCUGCUCCAUUCUCGCAACUUUUUUAACCUCUUGUUGCUCCUUCUCCCCAAUCUUUAGAUCGUCCUCGAUCUCCAUCUAUUUCUGCCUCUUCUCCCAUCUCUGCUCCUCCUCUGCUCUCCCUGUUAAAUUCUGUCUUCCCUGUUGUACCCCCCUGUCCCCACUCUCUGGCAUCCCAGAUCCCCAGGUGUCCUCCCUGCUGUGAUUCUCCCUCUGUUCUCCUUGCCACCAGCACCACUCUGCUCUGUCUGCCCCAGCUCCAAAUCCCUCCCUCCUCUCCCUCACUCUGAUGAGCCUCCCUCUUUCCUGCCCCUCUCCCUACAUUGCUGUUCUUCAUCUCUCUGUACGUUUAGUUUUUCUCUACACUUCUCCAGUUGUUUUUCUCCUUUUGCUUUCUUAUCUUUUUUUCACUUUUGCUGUCUCUUGGCAAAUCCCUCACCCAUCCUCUACUUUGCCAUCGGUUAUGGGUCUUUUUCAUUCUUCUUUCCUCUGUCUCAGGUUUUCUAUGGCUCUCUGACUCCGUCUGUCUGUCUCCUGAUCCCUUUGGCCCAUACAAUCACAGGAGAAUUUAGAGUAAGACGCCUGCAUCCCUGAGAAGUGCAUUUUCCAGGGUCUAGAGCUGGGCAAGCAAGAGCACCCGUGUCACAGGACAGGCCCUGGGCACCCCGCGGGCUCAGGGGAAGCGGUGACUAGCAGUAGAGACCUGUGGAGCACCAGGGCCCCGCACGAGGAAGGAGGUGGGGGGCGACGGCGCCUUAAGACAAGGAUAAGAGCUGCAGGAUCCCAGGACCAGGCAGAGGACGCCGCCUCCCCGGGGCUGGGGCCACCGCGCUGCGCUACAGGGGCCGACUAGGGCGAGGGUGGGAGGGGCCCAGGGUGAGAAUCUGCCUCCCGGGUGAGGACUUUGAAAAGCACGGGGCAGGAGGAGUCAGAAAAAGUUUUGAGCAGGAAAACUACCAGACAGGAAGUGUACAGAAGCACCCGGGACCUGGGAAGCGCAGACCUAAUACAAGACAGAGAGAAACUCACGCGCCGGCGGUGGGACCUUCCCUCCACGUGAUCCGCUUCCGGGUUUGUGCAAAUCUGCCCAGGCAGAACAGAAGCCAGGCCUGGGCGGGACCCGCGAGGAGGAAAUCAGGGACCCUGAAAGGAGGGACCAGCUGAAGCUGCAGCAGAAAAACAUAGAUUGUGAAGAUUUCAUGGACAUUUAUUAGUUCCCCAAAUUAACACUUUUAUAAUUUCUUACACCUAUCUUUACUAUAGUCUCCGAACAUAAAUUGUGAAAAUUUCAUGAACACUUAUCACUUCCCCAAUCAAAACUCUUGUGAUUUCCUAUGCCUGUUUUUACUUCAAUCUCUUAAUCCCGUCAUCUUUGUAAACUCAGGAGCAUGAAUGUCGACUCA
This is a long non-coding RNA of Macaca mulatta (Rhesus monkey), 1698 nucleotides long. RefSeq lists it as uncharacterized. Lineage: Eukaryota; Metazoa; Chordata; Mammalia; Primates; Cercopithecidae. The record is from RefSeq and is a predicted model, not a curated record.